This 253-nucleotide ribosomal RNA is filed under the name uncultured bacterium. RNAcentral describes it as "partial 16S ribosomal RNA". It matches the Rfam family "Bacterial small subunit ribosomal RNA", at positions 524 to 776 of the family's 1533-position model. The record is from RNAcentral.
UACGUAGGGUGCGAGCGUUGUCCGGAAUUAUUGGGCGUAAAGGGCUCGUAGGCGGUUUGUCGCGUCGGGAGUGAAAACUCAGGGCUUAACUCCGAAACUGCAUUCGAUACUGCGGUGCUUGAGGACUGGAGAGGAGACUGGAAUUCAUGGUGUAGCAGUGAAAUGCGUAGAGAUCAUGAGGAAGACCAGUGGCGAAGGCGGGUCUCUGGACAGUUCCUGACGCUGAGGCACGAAGGUCAGGGGAGCAAACGGG